GUGUCAGCCGCCGCGGUAAUACGGAGGGGGCUAGCGUUGUUCGGAAUUACUGGGCGUAAAGCGCGCGUAGGCGGACCUGCAAGUCGGGGGUGAAAGCCCGAGGCUCAACUCCGGAACUGCCUUUAAGACUGCAUCGCUAGAAUUGUGGAGAGGUGAGUGGAAUUCCGAGUGUAGAGGUGAAAUUCGUAGAUAUUCGGAAGAACACCAGUGGCGAAGGCGACUCACUGGACACAUAUUGACGCUGAGGUGCGAAAGCGUGGGGAGCAAACAGGAUUAGAAACCCUGGUAGUCC
Molecule: ribosomal RNA, 292 nt
Filed under: uncultured bacterium
Lineage: Bacteria
Description: partial 16S ribosomal RNA
Rfam family: Bacterial small subunit ribosomal RNA
Source: RNAcentral